Capra hircus (goat) is the source of this 1864-nucleotide long non-coding RNA. The record is from Ensembl. Lineage: Eukaryota; Metazoa; Chordata; Mammalia; Artiodactyla; Bovidae.
AGAGAGAGAGCAAGCCACAAGUUUGGGUGUGGAGAUGGGGAAAAGAGGGAACUUGGAGUCUCGAAUCCAUACACACACAGGUGUUUUCUCAACCAAAUGUUGUGGGAACCGUGAACCAGAAGACAGGAAUUCUGAGUUCCCCUUGGGUUCCAGGCUCUGUGUCGAGGAGCAGCUCCAGUGAAACCCACUUCAUCUCCUGUCUGGAGUUCCCAUCUCCCCUGCGCAGGGGGAAGCAGAAGCCAGACCCUGCUGCUCACCUGCUGGACCGCGCAAAGGGAUCCCCUCCAGCUGCAGUCGUGAGCAGCUGGAGUUAGCAAGCCUGGGAGCCAGAGUUCCACAAAUUUGCCAGCUUCUAGGAGCUCUGGCAUAUGAACGUGCUUGAGAACCUGCCAUUCUUCUGAUGUUGAAAUUUGGAUGAAAUACAACACAGAAGUUAAAGGAACCAAGAAACAGAAUCAGAGGAUAAACUGCAGUCUUAGAAAUUACAUUUGGAAAUUACACCCUCACAUGUGGAUGAUAGGAGAUGAGGCUGAAGCACAGGCUUGGACCAGCCAGAGGAAGGCCCUGCCACCAGGAAGAGGCAUGUGUGGAGCCGCUGGGGCACUAAGUGAACCACUGACAGAAUUGCCCUGCAGAGACACGAGGCCAGAGCAGAGAGAUGAGCAGCCAGGAGGAGAAAGGCCGGAGGCUUGCUCUAGCAUCCUGGUAAGCAUGCAGCUCUCUGCAGUCUGCAAGGGUCCCCAGGCUCUGCCCACACCUCAUCUCAGCGACACAGUGAGCUCCAACCCUGCAGCUCCGGCAUCCCACCUGAGCCCAUGAUCUCAACCAAGUGCAGAGGGCCUGUGACUAGCAUGUGACUCAGCAGCCAGCCCAGGGACAGGCCACAGUGGGAUGGGGAAAGAGGAGCUCAGCUUAGGUGUGGGGAGGGGAGGUCGUUUCCAGCAGGGGGAUGACCUGGGCUCUUGAAAUCCAUUCAUUCACUCAUUCAUUGAUGAAUUCAUCCAUUCAACAAAACUUUUAUUGAGCACCUCGUAUAUUUGGGUCCUGUGGGAGACCAAACGCUAUCUGUAGAAGCUCGAUUUAGUUGGCAGAAGUGUAAGAACUAGACACGCAAAGGGAGACACAAACACAGGAGAGGCAGAGAGAAAAGCACUGUGGAAUCCAAAGAGGGAAAAAGCAUUCCUGCUGAGAGCAACGGGAAGGCUUCCUGAGCAGGCCCAUUGCAGCAGCACCUUGAAAGACAUCAUUUCAACAGAAGGGCCCAGGAGGAGUAGGAAGGAACAGCAGGCCAGGCAGAAGAAGGCCGUGAGCUUCUGGGGGCAGGAACUUUAGCAGUUUUGUUCUGUCCCUGAUCCCUGCAGGGCUCAAUAAUCAAGUGUCCUGUUUCCUGAGAGAGGCAAUGAACUUCUCCUGGCCCCUCCACCUUCCCUCCCCAUCUAGACCCAUCACUGAUCACCUAAACUUCUCUCUCUACAGCAUUCAGUCUCCUGAACCCUUUCUCUUCUGCCAAACCCACGCCACUGACAUCAAAGGCAAAACAUCUCUUCUCUUGACUCCACAAAUCUUUCCUUGCAUCCUUGAUCUUGCCCUUGCCUGGCCCUAGGACCCCUUCUCCUCCAGUGGCCUCCGUCUCUCCAUCUAUUUAGCCUCUUUCUCUCUAGGCAACAUCCCUUCAGCUGAUAAAUGUAGUUAAGUCUCUGUCAGCCCCAAACCUCCACACUUCCUGAUUAGACGCUGCAUUUCCUGAGGACAAGAGUCCACUCAGUACCAUAUGCAUCUCUUUAUGGGCCCCUCUGAACCUAAGGACAGGACCCUAGGCUCAGUAAACAUGCACCAACAUGAAUGGAUGGAAGAUCUGAUCUUG